UACGGGAGGCAGCAGUGGGGAAUUUUGCGCAAUGGGCGAAAGCCUGACGCAGCGACGCCGCGUGGAGGAUUAAGGCCUUCGGGUUGUAAACUCCUGUCAGAGGUGAAGAAAGUCUCCUUCGGGAGACCUGACGGUAACCUCAGAGGAAGCCCCGGCUAACUACGUGCCAGCAGCCGCGGUAAU
Molecule: ribosomal RNA, 183 nt
Filed under: uncultured bacterium
Lineage: Bacteria
Description: partial 16S ribosomal RNA
Rfam family: Bacterial small subunit ribosomal RNA
Source: RNAcentral